GAUGAACGCUAGCGGGAGGCUUAACACAUGCAAGUCGAGGGGCAGCAUAGGGUAGCAAUACUCUGAUGGCGACCGGCAAACGGGUGAGUAACGCGUAUGCAACCUACCUGUACAGGGGGAUAACCCGGAGAAAUUCGGACUAAUAUCCCGUAAUAAUAUCCGGAGGCAUCUUUGGAUAUUUAAAGUUCCGACGGUACGGGAUGGGCAUGCGUAACAUUAGCUGGUUGGUAAGGUAACGGCUUACCAAGGCUAUGAUGUUUAGGGGUCCUGAGAGGGUGGUCCCCCACACUGGUACUGAGACACGGACCAGACUCCUACGGGAGGCAGCAGUGAGGAAUAUUGGUCAAUGGGCGCAAGCCUGAACCAGCCAUCCCGCGUGCAGGAAGACGGCCCUAUGGGUUGUAAACUGCUUUUCCAGGGAGAGAAACUUACGCACGUGUUGCGUGACUGACGGUACCCUGGGAAUAAGCAUCGGCUAACUCCGUG
RNAcentral lists this ribosomal RNA (486 nucleotides) under uncultured bacterium. RNAcentral describes it as "bacterial SSU rRNA". It matches the Rfam family "Bacterial small subunit ribosomal RNA", at positions 28 to 507 of the family's 1533-position model. The record is from RNAcentral.